Zeugodacus cucurbitae (melon fly) is the source of this 4791-nucleotide long non-coding RNA. RefSeq lists it as uncharacterized. The record is from RefSeq and is a predicted model, not a curated record. The transcript is spliced from 3 exons. NCBI's taxonomy places the organism in Eukaryota, Metazoa, Arthropoda, Insecta, Diptera, Tephritidae.
UUGUUAUUGAUAAAAUAGCAAUCAGCUGAUGAAACUUAACAACCAAAAUGUAUAACUGCCAUGAAAGUGUAUAGCAAAAUCUGAUUUCUCAAUUAAUGUUAAUGUCUUUAUUUAUUUGAAGUCUUCUUACCUGCAUCUAUUAAAUUGACGAUGAAAAUGCAAACACAGUUGGAAGAUUUGGAUUCGUCAACACUCGGAAACGAUAAGAUCAUAUAGCAACGCUGAUUGGGGAGAAUUUUUCUUUAAUGCUAAAGGUACAGGAAAACAAUAACACUGGCAGAAGGACAGAUUGCUCCGAUGCUGAGGCUGAGGUGCCAUAUGAAAUUAUGUAUAGAAGCAGCGCAAUUGUGUCGUGGUUUUUGCUCUAGAAGACUGAAAUGUAGCCUGGAGACUUAUAUACAAUAAACAGUGGAGGUACUACUACUAUUUAUAUUAUAUUUAUAACCUCACUUCCAGCAGUUGCGAUGUGUGGCGGAAGAUUAAUGAUUAUACCACAGGAAGAAAACUUAAAUGUAAACACGUUUUAUAAAUUUAAUGCUGUGGAGUAGCCUACUAUAACCACUGCCGCAGGAUAUGGUUAUAACCCAUUUAGGUUUGAGCAACUAGUUGAUAAAGAUAUUUAAGGUGUUUCAUUUUUCACCAUCAUUGAGUAUCGACCUUAAUACAAAAAGUGAACGACCAUCUCCUUGAAUUUUCUCGCUUUUUGCGAAUCCACGGCGACCCCUUUUACCAAUUGGUCGAAGAAGUACAGACUAAACCAUUCACAACAUUCACGUCGAUAAUAUAUCAAUACCGACCGUUAAUAAUCCUCAAAUUUUGGUUGUUAUCUUUGACAAUCUGUACUCCUUCAUUCCACAUACGACAGCAAUAGUGACCAAAGUACAGAACUGCAAGAAGAUCCUCCUGAAACGUUGCUGACAAUUUACAAGGCUAUCGGCCAGCCAUCCGGUCGUCAAUUACGCAGCACCGGUAUGGUCGUAUGGAUGCAGUGGAAUGCAUCAGAGGAAGAUACAUACGUCCCAGAAUACUGCUGGCUGCCUCUUGAUGUCUCCUGUAGCACUCCUAUAUAAUGAGGCCGAUAUGCUACCUGAAAAGGAGCAUAAUUAAUUGCUUACCAAGCAAUGUCUACUAGGGUGUUAUCGUAGAAAUCAGUCAUAUGCUGGAAACGGAACCGACUUCCAGGUGCAUCAAAAGGUCACUCUUACAAUACAUAGACGACAUUACGCAAUACGCCGACCAGAGUGUCAAAAAAAAAAUCAAUGGAGUUUUAACUUUUGUAAUAAAAGGUCUAUUACGAUUUAGUAGAAAAUCUGUAAACCAUCACUCCGAGAUUCCAGCAAAUAUGUUCUGUCUGUACACUGGAAUUAUUGCUUUUAAUCAUUAAAUAUCUGAGGGCCAGUAUUAUGAAUUUAUUCGCUUUCCUUGCGCAUAUAGACUAUUGUCUUUACAAAGGCUUCGUGAGGUAAAUCUGCAAAUUUCCCAUAAUAUUUUUACUCUUUCUGUAGAAAUUUUUCUUUAAUAUACGUUGAAAACAGUUUCAUAUAAUGUUUGCAAGUGAAAGGAACUGUAGAACUCGUGGGUGAUCCAAUUGCAGGUUCAUGCUACGCCUUGGAGAAUUAUUUACAAAGUCUUAAGCGUAUUGUACGAAAACCGACGGAAAUUCUUCAACAUAUUUUUAGGAAAAUUAUAGGAGAUACUAUCAAAGUUUCAACUAAUUUAGAGCAGCCAAAAUUAUUAGGAGGAAACAAGUUCGAAUCAUCUGUACUUUGUAGACAUAAGUAUAUUUAUUUACUUAUUUUAGAUCAACUGCAAAUUUGCACGACAGCAAUAGUCGAUAUGAAGGUUGUUAUAAAUAAGGAGAAUCGUCACAUUGUAGAGUAAACGUCUUUAAUAGCAGAAUUUCCAAAUCAAGUGUGGAGGCAGUAGAAAGUUUAAAAAUGACGGCAAUCACGAAUGCUAUACUAUGAAAUCUCGUUUUAACUCGACAGGAGUGGUUAAACAUCUUAAAGAGAGAUUGGCGAUCCUGUUGUCCAGUAUUAUUAUACAUAUACAGUUUAUGGAAAAAAAUCUUGAAGAAGUUUUGAGAACUUUUACUCCACCUAUUAGGGUAAGUAUUUCAAUACUGUUUACAUUUUUUCAAUAUAUUCAUAUGUAUGUAUGUAACUCUGUUACGUUACUCAAUCAAAUAUUAUGUAAAUAAAAAAUAAAAAUGGAAUAUUAACAUAUAAAAAUUGUUUUCUGUAUUAUUAAACGAUAAAAGAUAUGAACUAGAUGACAUUAUUAGUGAAAAAUAGAAAGUGGAAGGUAGUGGGGUAAGUGGUGUAUAGCGUUAACUGAUGCUGCUCCUACUUGUUCCCACUGCACUGUAAGUGAGACUGGCGAGCAAGUACGUAUCUUAGGUCCAGUUUUGUAUAUUCUCUAUACUGCCACUUUUUCUGAUGACACCGCAAACAUAUGCGUCGAAAAACCUGCAGAUCGGUGCUGGACUACGUGGGAAAGAGCAUACAACCUAAACCGGAUGUUGAUAACCGGAGUAUAUCAACGGAAAUGGCUAUCAUCAUGGAGUUUCUGAUGUGAUCGGAACCAGGAACAAGCCACCUAACAAUUCUAAUAUACUAAAGGAAACGGAAGUCUCACAAGAGGGGCGGACAUGAAAAGAACGGAAGCUUUUCAGAUACAGGAAACAGAUGUUAAACACAGAAGUUGACUAUUUUCGUAUAUUUUGUACUCUAGGUACAAACACAACACAAAUAGGCUUGAACUUAACCUGAAAUCUUAAAAAAUGAAGUAGCUAAUUGGACGAAGGUCAAACAUGUCCAUACAGAAGAAAUUUGUUCUAUAUAAACAAAUUAUGGAGUCGAUAUGGUAAUUUCGUGCGCAACUGAGCUGCACAUAGAUUUAAAAACAAAAUUGCUCCUUUUUUAGGUCAAAAACCAUAACUCAGGAACUGCUCGACUGAUCUCAUUAAAAUUAAGUGCAUAAUAUUUUCUUGACACCCUUAUGUUUCCGAUGUAAAUCGGUUAACAACCACACCAACUUUUAUAUCGGUUAAUAUUUGAGAUAUUUUAGAAAUGUUAUGUAAGCUCUUGGAUAUAAUGUGUGAUUUGGUCCAGAAAUUUCCUCAACCUCAUAUACUAUUAUAUAUAUAAGGGUUUUCGUUAUUCUAGCGGACUUUAGUUCCGCUUCGUAGUUUAACUACCCCGACUUUAUUUUUAUACGCACUUAUGUAUGUAUAAAGAUUACAAAUAUAUGCCAUAAGAGUAAAAUAUUGAAUCCUCCUCUAUUGUUAUUCUCAUAUUUGUAGUGCUCUCAUACUCAUAUACUUUCAGCUUUCAUAUGCUCGUAUUCUAUAUAAAGUGUAAACAAAAGUUAUUGGACAACAUUUUUAUCACACUGCAGUCAUUAUGCGACUUUUUCAGAUAUGUAUUUUAUCUACAUUGUCUUCAAAGAAGCACGCUGAUUAAGAACUGCCAACAAUGUGAAUUGAAACUCCACAAUGAACGUGGGCACUAAGCAUAUUAAAGUUUGUGUAAGAUAAGAAGACAGCAACGGCUACUUAAAUCAUGAAAGUAUGUCUCAAUAAUGGCCAAUAGUUGGCUAUAUUUUAAACAAAGUCGAGGACCAUUUCAUAGUCACGCCAUUACUUGGUCUAUAAAACAAAACAAAAACAAACAGGCAAGAGAUAAGUGCGGGUAUAAUCGUACAUUUUAUACGCUCGCCAUUUAUUUAUUUAUUUAUAUUAAGAUAACACACAAUUUAUAUGAGUCAAAUUCGGUCCACUAGACUAUCGCUAUACAUAAUAUAUGGGGCUGGGGUAAUUCCGGUACCGAUUUCAUACAUUUUUGAUAAAAAAUUGCCCAAAGGCAUUCUCUCAUUUUCGGUAUCAGGGUGAUAGAAAAUUUACGACCAAAUUUCGCAUUUUCAAUUUUUUUAACCAAUCUGUGUGUAGAUAUUUUUUGUCAUCUUUUCUAUGACAUAGUGUACCUAUAUAACUUUAGUAAUUUAGGAGAUAUAACAAACUUUCUCAAAAGAAAAAAAAAAUUAUCAAAAUGUGCGCCGCCGGAUCUGUGUGGUAUUUUUUUUUGCUGAGGUGGAGCAAUAUUUCCUCGCAAACAAUGAUUUUUUCUAUAUUUAAUUUUAUGUUACCGUGUAGUUCAUGGUUUGAUAACCUUGCGCACGCGGACGGCUCCAAAGAUCUUGUGGAUGAGAGAGGUUAAUAACCAGAGGGCGUUAAUAACCACUCGACCUUCCAAGGCGUCAACGAUUUGCUCUAUGGGUUCUUGAAAAGUUCCAAGAAGAUACGAUGUUUUCGAGCCAAAUUCUGUUCAGCGUUGUGGCCCAUUUGUGGCUCAAUGAGUAUGUAAACAAGCAAAAUUGCCGCAUUUGGGGCGAAGAGCAACUUGAAAAUAUUCAAGGGCUGCCAUUUCAACGCCAAAAACGGUUUAUUGUCAAUGGUUCCGUUAUUGCGCAUGAUAACCGACUAUUUGCUGUCUGAAAUCGAAGCUCGUGAUCUCAGCGAUUCAUUUGGUUUCAACAAGACUUUUCACAUAUUGCAUCAAUUAAUGGAUUUAUCGAGAGAACAGUGAGCGUUUUGGUCUAUAUUAUUUUUCCUGUUUUCAGUCCUUGGAGCAAAACAUCACGCGUGUCCGUCGCUAGUCGACAUGCUCGAACGAGUCAUCGAAAAUUCGACUCAACGUAGCCGCGGCCAAAAUUUUAAAGUGAUAACCUUUAAAAAAUAAAUGCCAAAUAAUGUUCUUUCGAAUGAUAAUAAACAUUCAACAUAAAAUUUUA